This 497-nucleotide ribosomal RNA is filed under the name uncultured bacterium. RNAcentral's name for it is "partial 16S ribosomal RNA". It matches the Rfam family "Bacterial small subunit ribosomal RNA", at positions 28 to 507 of the family's 1533-position model. The record is from RNAcentral.
GAUGAACGCUGGCGGCGUGCCUAAUACAUGCAAGUCGAGCGAACAGACGAGGAGCUUGCUCCUUUGACGUUAGCGGCGGACGGGAGAGUAACACGUGGAUAACCUACCUAUAAGACUGGGAUAACUUCGGGAAACCGGAGCUAAUACCGGAUAACAUGUUGAACCGCAUGGUUCAACAGUGAAAGACGGUCUUGCUGUCACUUAUAGAUGGAUCCGCGCCGCAUUAGCUAGUUGGUAAGGUAACGGCUUACCAAGGCAACGAUGCGUAGCCGACCUGAGAGGGUGAUCGGCCACACUGGAACUGAGACACGGUCCAGACUCCUACGGGAGGCAGCAGUAGGGAAUCUUCCGCAAUGGGCGAAAGCCUGACGGAGCAACGCCGCGUGAGUGAAGAAGGUCUUCGGAUCGUAAAACUCUGUUAUUAGGGAAGAACAAAUGUGUAAGUAACUAUGCACGUCUUGACGGUACCUAAUCAGAAAGCCACGGCUAACUACGUG